GCGGUAGCGGAGCGUUCUGUAAGUUGUUGAAGGGAUACCUGUGAGGGGUCCUGGAGAUAUCAGAAGUGAGAAUGCUGACAUGAGUAGCGAUAAAGAGUGUGAGAAACACUCUCGCCGAAAGACCAAGGUUUCCUCAGCAAGGCUAAUCCGCUGAGGGUGAGUCGGCCCCUAAGGCAAGACCGAAAGGUGUAGUCGAUGGGAAACAGGUUAAUAUUCCUGUACCUGAUGAGAUGUGACGGAUGAUGUAAAUUGUACUUCCUUAUCGGAUUGGAAGUGCAGUGAAAUCGUCCCAGGAAAUAGCCUCAUCAUUAGACCGUACCCCAAACCGACACAGGUGGUCGAGUAGAGAAUACUAAGGCGCUUGAGAGAACUGUAUUGAAGGAACUCGGCAAAUUGCCUCCGUAACUUCGGGAGAAGGAGGCCCCAUGUUUAGGCAACUAGAUGUGGGGGGCACAGAAUAGGGGGUGGCGACUGUUUACUAAAAACACAGGGCUCUGCGAAGUCGCAAGACGACGUAUAGGGUCUGACGCCUGCCCGGUGCCUGAAGGUUAAGAGGAGGGGUGAGAGCUCCCAAUUGAAGCCCAGGUAAACGGCGGCCGUAACAAUAACGGUCCUAAGGUAGCGAAAUUCCUUGUCGGGUAAGUUCCGACCUGCACGAAUGGCGUAACGACUUCCCCGCUGUCUCCAACAUAGACUCAGUGAAAUUGAAUUGCCUGUCAAGAUGCAGGCUUCCCGCGGUUAGACGGAAAGACCCCGUGCACCUUUACUACAGCUUCACACUGGCAUCAGGCCAAGCAUGUGCAGGAUAGGUGGUAGACUUUGAAGCCAGGACGCAAGUCCCGGUGGAGUCACCCUUGAGAUACCACCCCUGCUUUGCUUGAUGUCUAACUGCGGUCCAUUAUCUGGAUCCAGGACCCUGUGUGGCGGGUAGUUUGACUGGGGCGGUCGCCUCCUAAAGCGUAACGGAGGCGCGCGAAGGUUGGCUCAGAGCGGUCGGAAAUCGCUCGUUGAGUGCAAUGGCAGAAGCCAGCCUGACUGCGAGACUGACAAGUCGAGCAGAGUCGAAAGACGGCCAUAGUGAUCCGGUGGUCCCGAGUGGAAGGGCCAUCGCUCAACGGAUAAAAGGUACGCCGGGGAUAACAGGCUGAUCUCCCCCAAGAGUCCACAUCGACGGGGAGGUUUGGCACCUCGAUGUCGGCUCAUCACAUCCUGGGGCUGGAGCAGGUCCCAAGGGU
RNAcentral lists this ribosomal RNA (1235 nucleotides) under Haliclystus sanjuanensis. Its description in RNAcentral is "bacterial LSU rRNA". It matches the Rfam family "Bacterial large subunit ribosomal RNA", at positions 1225 to 2572 of the family's 2925-position model. The record is from RNAcentral. Lineage: Eukaryota; Metazoa; Cnidaria; Staurozoa; Stauromedusae; Haliclystidae.